UACGUAGGGUGCGAGCGUUAAUCGGAAUUACUGGGCGUAAAGCGUGCGCAGGCGGUUUUGUAAGCCGGAUGUGAAAUCCCCGGGCUUAACCUGGGAAUGGCAUUCGGGACUGCAAGGCUGGAGUGCGGCAGAGGAGACUGGAAUUCCUGGUGUAGCAGUGAAAUGCGUAGAUAUCAGGAGGAAUACCGAUGGCGAAGGCAGGUCUCUGGGCUAUAACUGACGCUCAUGCACGAAAGCGUGGGGAGCAAACAGG
RNAcentral lists this ribosomal RNA (253 nucleotides) under uncultured bacterium. RNAcentral describes it as "partial 16S ribosomal RNA". It matches the Rfam family "Bacterial small subunit ribosomal RNA", at positions 524 to 776 of the family's 1533-position model. The record is from RNAcentral.